UUGACCUCAAUCAGGUAG
Molecule: ribosomal RNA, 18 nt
Filed under: Psathyrella sp. 2 RV-2015
Lineage: Eukaryota; Fungi; Basidiomycota; Agaricomycetes; Agaricales; Psathyrellaceae
Description: partial 28S ribosomal RNA
Source: RNAcentral